AGGGCGAGCAAUUUCAUGCCAGGAUUCCUCAUUCUGUACGCUUGUAUUGUUGAGCCAAGGAGCAAAUACUCUAGUUGUCUGAUCAUGACUGACAGACAUCAUAUAUUCCCCACAUCUAGCCCAGGCGAUGUCUGACACUGCAGCAAAGUGUCCAGAUGGAACUUUUUGUGGCUUCCAGUCAUCAUACUCAAUACCAACAUUUUUCCAGAGGUGAAAAGAUCCACCAUAUCCAUGAGCUAAAAUAAAAUCUGCAUUUGGACUCCAGUGACCACCAUAAAAUCCCAAAGCACAGUGACUUAAUUCCCCAACGGUGACUACAUUCAUCCAAAUACCAGUUGUCUUUUCAGGUUGCCAGAUCAACAUUGUCUUAUCCAUGGAUGCAGAUAAAAUGCUUUGAGGCUGAAAACACUCAAUUCCCUCAACAGAAGAAGUCGAUGGCGGCUGCCAUUCCACUGAGUAUACCCAAUCUUCAUGCCCAAUGAGGAGAGAUUCCAUAGAGAUCUG
RNAcentral lists this unclassified non-coding RNA (504 nucleotides) under Hevea brasiliensis (rubber tree). Lineage: Eukaryota; Viridiplantae; Streptophyta; Magnoliopsida; Malpighiales; Euphorbiaceae. The record is from RNAcentral.